Molecule: ribosomal RNA, 253 nt
Filed under: uncultured bacterium
Lineage: Bacteria
Description: partial 16S ribosomal RNA
Rfam family: Bacterial small subunit ribosomal RNA
Source: RNAcentral
UACGUAGGGUCCGAGCGUUGUCCGGAAUUACUGGGCGUAAAGAGCUCGUAGGUGGUUUGUCGCGUUGUUCGUGAAAACUCACAGCUCAACUGUGGGCGUGCGGGCGAUACGGGCAGACUGGAGUACUGCAGGGGAGACUGGAAUUCCUGGUGUAGCGGUGGAAUGCGCAGAUAUCAGGAGGAACACCGGUGGCGAAGGCGGGUCUCUGGGCCGUAACUGACGCUGAGGAGCGAAAGCAUGGGGAGCGAACAGG